UCGGCCGCCUCUGGGUCCCGCUUGAAAUUCUGUAGAAGCCUGAAAGCUCGCGGAGCGCGGACUCCGAGUGAGUUUGAGGAUGUGUGCGGCUGGUGGCUGCGCCGGGGCCCCCGCGGAGAAGGUGGGGGGCCCCGACACCCGCUUGCUUGGACCGUGCGCUAUGAGAAGAUGCUUCCCCUGACGGGAAUGGAGUACCAAUCACUGGCACUAUUGGAAAAACUGAUAGAAGGCUGUGGAUUACAGACAGAUGAGGAAACUGAGGCACUGAGGACUUCAGGAACUUGCCCACUGUUUCACAGCCAGGAAGAGGCAGAUUGCAGAUUUGGAGCCCAGAGAGUGCUGUUCUUAGUGUACACUGCCUCCUUGAUGCUGCUGGUCUCCCCCGGUGCCACCUCCAGCUUCGGGCUCCAGAACCUUCACGGUCAGGCUCUGGGUUCUGACCUUUUCCUGUCUUCAGCAACUAAAGAAUAAGAAGCAGGCAGAGACACAGAUGCUCCACGGCAGCCCUCCACGGACACCCAGCAAGCGGCGAGGUCUGGCACCCAGCACUCUGGGCAAAGUGCGCAAGGUUCUAAGCUCCCAGGAUUCCAUUAUCACUGAGAUGCUAAGAGUGAACAGAUGUAAAGUGUCAAAAGCUAAAUGAGAAAAAGAAGAGAACGGUCAUUCGGAGCCCCAGCAAGUAUCAUGGAACGCCCUGGGAUGUGCCCAGGAAACUAGAGUCACCGGAGGCUCACUUCAAAAGCUGGUCUUCAGUUGCGGCUGAGCAAAGUCCCGGCCUGCGGGUUCCAGCCCGUUGACACUGGAUCACGAAACACAAAUAGGUGUCAUUACUUCUACCAGUUUGAGGAGAAAAACACCCGCUGGUGUCAAGCCUGGAACCAAUGAGAAGAACCUGGAGCUCAUUGGCAGCAUCCUCAGUGAAGGAUCCGUCCCUCUCUGACAGCUCCACUGUUGGGCUUCAGGCACUGUUUGCACUACUGGAAGCAAAAGCACAGAGGAAUCAAUACCAUCUUCAACUGGUGGGACAGGUUUCCUUGCUGUGCUCCUCUGAUGGAUGUGCAAGAUCAAGGAAUAUUCGGCAGGAGGGCGAGAGGGAGAGAAGUCUCCCGGGGAGAUGGUCACUUCACUUCCUCCUUCCUGUAACCUCUGGCAGCCAGUCUCCUAUUCUCCGUUUCUCUGAAAUCAGCCUUCGAUUGGGGAAAGGAAAAGGAAGUCACAGUGGCCCCAGGACUCUUGGAUUUGCUGUUUUCUCAAGAGGUAAUAUUCCUCCUUCAGAGGGGUACAUGGCUGGCCUCUCACUGCUUUCAGGUUUGUACUCUAACUUUAUCAACGAGUUUUCCUGACGACCCCUUCUAAAAAAGCGGUGCUUAGCCAUUGUUCUUUGUGUGUGUGUCCUAUCCUAUUCGUGUAGCCAGAACUAACUUCACACCAUGUGCUCUGUAGACCUGUAUGGUUGGUUACUAGUUAUUGCUUGCUGCCCUCACCUUGGAAUGGGAGCUCCGUGAGAACUCUCGUCAGAUGUUUCUUGAAUAAAUGGCCAAAGAGGAAAUGUCCA
This 1555-nucleotide long non-coding RNA is filed under the name Sus scrofa (pig). RNAcentral describes it as "lncRNA (ENSSSCG00060046602.1)". The record is from RNAcentral. Lineage: Eukaryota; Metazoa; Chordata; Mammalia; Artiodactyla; Suidae.